This 866-nucleotide ribosomal RNA is filed under the name Staphylococcus sp. HMSC063F10. RNAcentral describes it as "bacterial LSU rRNA". It matches the Rfam family "Bacterial large subunit ribosomal RNA", at positions 1 to 865 of the family's 2925-position model. Lineage: Bacteria; Bacillati; Bacillota; Bacilli; Caryophanales; Staphylococcaceae. The record is from RNAcentral.
GAUAAGGUUAAGUGAAUAAGGGCGCACGGUGGAUGCCUUGGCACUAGGAGCCGAUGAAGGACGGGACUAACACCGAUAUGCUUUGGGGAGCUGUAAGUAAGCUAUGAUCCAGAGAUUUCCGAAUGGGGGAACCCAAUAUCUUUUAUAGGAUAUUACUUUUCAGUGAAUACAUAGCUGAUUAGAGGUAGACGCAGAGAACUGAAACAUCUUAGUACCUGCAGGAAGAGAAAGAAAAUUCGAUUCCCUGAGUAGCGGCGAGCGAAACGGGAAGAGCCCAAACCAACAAGCUUGCUUGUUGGGGUUGUAGGACUCCAAUAUGGUAGUCUGUUAGUAUAGUUGAAGGAUUUGGAAAAUUCCGCUAAAGAGGGUGAAAGCCCCGUAGACGAAAUGCUAACAACACCUAGGAGGAUCCUGAGUACGGCGGAACACGAGAAAUUCCGUCGGAAUCCGCGGGGACCAUCCCGCAAGGCUAAAUACUCCCUAGUGACCGAUAGUGAACCAGUACCGUGAGGGAAAGGUGAAAAGCACCCCGGAAGGGGAGUGAAAUAGAUCCUGAAACCGUGUGCCUACAACAAGUCAAAGCUCGUUAAUGAGUGAUGGCGUGCCUUUUGUAGAAUGAACCGGCGAGUUACGAUUGCAUGCGAGGUUAAGUCGAAGAGACGGAGCCGCAGCGAAAGCGAGUCUGAAUAGGGCGAAUGAGUAUGUAGUCGUAGACCCGAAACCAUGUGAUCUACCCAUGUCCAGGUUGAAGGUGCGGUAAAACGCACUGGAGGACCGAACCCACGUACGUUGAAAAGUGCGGGGAUGAGGUGUGGGUAGCGGAGAAAUUCCAAACGAACUUGGAGAUAGCUGGUUCUCUCCGAAAU